Ictalurus punctatus (channel catfish) is the source of this 395-nucleotide long non-coding RNA. Lineage: Eukaryota; Metazoa; Chordata; Actinopteri; Siluriformes; Ictaluridae. The record is from Ensembl.
UGGUGUUGGUGAUAGUGCUGGUGAUGGUUAUGAUGUUGGUGUUGGUGAUAGUGCUGGUGAUGGUCAUGAUGUUGGUGUUGGUGAUGCUGAAGGUGUUGAUGUUGGUGUUGGUGAUAGUGCUGGUGAUGGUGUUGAUGUUGGUGUUGGUGAUAGUGCUGGUGAUGGUUAUGAUGUUGGUGUUGGUGAUAGUGCUGGUGAUGGUCAUGAUGCUGAUGGUGUUGGUAAUGGUGAUGGUAUUGAUGGUAUUGCUGUUGUGAGCAGUGGUGUGUGGGAUGGAGAGAUGAAGAAGAAGAAGAAGAAGAAGAAGAAGAAGAAGAAGAAGAAGAAGAAGAGCAGGAGGCGGAGAACGAGGAGGAGGAGAAAAUGAAUGAUGGCAGUAUUGGAGCUGCAAAGAG